ACACGGCGCGAGCGAAUGCCUGCGGGUGAAGGCAAAGACCGAAUGCUUUUAGGCAUCCGAAAUAUUCCAUGAAACGUGAGUGCACAGAUGAAAUACCGAACGUUCAGGCUGCGGUGUGUUCUAAGCACUGGGGAUACAUCACUGCAUUCCAUUUAAUAUACGACGACCUACCGCGGACUAAAUGUACCCAAAUCUACCGCGAAAGAAGAAACUGUCGUCGCCAAACGAUUUAUUUCGAGUAUCUGUCAUUUUCUCAUACGCGGCGAACAACGACGGGUUUUAUUUUUUAAAUCAAACGUAGAGGCACGUACCACGCUUCCAGUGUCACGCUGUGUUCCGGUCAAGCACUUGAUAGGCCUACACGAAGACGACUUUGCUGGACAGUAAAACGCACUGAGGUUCAAGUUGCCUGGGCUGUGGAGAAGAGGAUGGGGCUGUGAUGAAGAGGAUGGGGCUGUGAUGGAGGGGUCUGGGCUGUGAUGAAGAGACCUGGCUGUGAUGAAGAGGUCUGGGCUGUGAUGAAGAGGACGGGGCUGUGAUGAAGAGGCCUGGGCUGGGAUGAAGAGGACAGGGCUGUGAUGAAGAAGGUCUGGCUGUGAUGAAGAGGACGGGGCUGUGAUGAAGAGGCCUGGGCUGGGAUGAAGAGGACGAGGCUGUGAUGAAGAAGGCCUGGCUGUGAUGAAGAGGACGGGGCUGUGAUGAAGAGGCCUGGGCUGUGAGGAAGAGGCCUGGCUGUGAUGAAGAGGCCUGGGCUGUGAUGAAGAGGACGAGGCUGUGAUGAAGAAGGCCUGGCUGUGAUGAAGAGGACGGGGCUGUGAUGAAGAAGGCCUGGGCUGUGAGGAAGAGGUCUGGCUGUGAUGAAGAGGUCUGGCUGUGAUGAAGAGACCUGGCUGUGAUGAAGAGGCCUGGGCUGUGAUGAAGAGGACAAGGCUGUGAUGAAGAGGACGGGGCUGUGAUGAAGAAGGCCUGGGCUGUGAUGAAGAGGCCUGGGCUGGGAUGAAGAGGACGGGGCUGUGAUGAAGAGGUCUGGGCUGUGACACUUUCAGUCUGGCAAAGGGCACAGGCAGGAGCACCAGUGCGACUGAAGAGUUCCCAGUACGAAGCUUCAUAGAACUGUGUGUAAACAGGCAUCACUCAAAAACACCAGGGGGAGACACCACGAUAUGCGCAGCCAAGGCCUUUGACUUCGAAGAAGCAAACAAUCAUGUGCUUUGAUCGCUUAAAUGAAGAAUGCCAAACCAUGUACGUCUCCAUCCACUCUGCGGCGUCGACCCGGACAUUAUGUUGUGCUUUAAGCAAGUGUCUAUUUGAAGAUACUUUGGUUCAUUUAAAAAAAGCCCAGCUGUCUCUGCCGUGUCCGUGGCAUGGCUGCUUACUGCUCAGGUCUACGGCCGUGCAGAAAUGCUUUGGUCUGUGCUUUCGGUCGUUUAUUUGGGUGGUAAUCGAUGUGGAAAUGAAUUAAAAUGGAAACAGGACAUGAGAGGAUGAUUUGCCUUGAAACCCCGCCUCCUCACACUCAGGGGCGUGGCCUCCAUCUGAGUCAGGGAGCCAAAAAAAUAAAAAAAUUAAUGGAA
This is a long non-coding RNA of Anguilla rostrata (American eel), 1574 nucleotides long. RefSeq lists it as uncharacterized. NCBI's taxonomy places the organism in Eukaryota, Metazoa, Chordata, Actinopteri, Anguilliformes, Anguillidae. The record is from RefSeq and is a predicted model, not a curated record. The transcript has 3 exons.